GCCUGGCUGGCGCAAUGGUUAGCGCGUAGAACUUCUAGUCAAGCAAACUUUAGAUUCUAAACUUUGCAGAGCAAGCCCGUAAGGGACCGCUAGAGGAUAUUCUAAGGUUGUGCGUUCGAGUCGCACGUCGGGCU
Molecule: non-coding RNA, 134 nt
Organism: Nemania sp. FL0916
Lineage: Eukaryota; Fungi; Ascomycota; Sordariomycetes; Xylariales; Xylariaceae
Source: the annotation of a GenBank genome assembly